AGAAUUCCAGGUGUAGCGGUGAAAUGCGUAGAGAUCUGGAGGAAUACCGGUGGCGAAGGCGGCCCCCUGGACGAAGACUGACGCUCAGGUGCGAAAGCGUGGGGAGCAAACAGGAUUAGAUACCCUGGUAGUCCACGCCGUAAACGAUGUCGACUUGGAGGUUGUGCCCUUGAGGCGUGGCUUCCGGAGCUAACGCGUUAAGUCGACCGCCUGGGGAGUACGGCCGCAAGGUUAAAACUCAAAUGAAUUGACGGGGGCCCGCACAAGCGGUGGAGCAUGUGGUUUAAUUCGAUGCAACGCGAAGAACCUUACCUGGUCUUGACAUCCAC
This 329-nucleotide ribosomal RNA is filed under the name Escherichia coli. RNAcentral describes it as "bacterial SSU rRNA". It matches the Rfam family "Bacterial small subunit ribosomal RNA", at positions 663 to 991 of the family's 1533-position model. Lineage: Bacteria; Pseudomonadati; Pseudomonadota; Gammaproteobacteria; Enterobacterales; Enterobacteriaceae. The record is from RNAcentral.